Molecule: ribosomal RNA, 497 nt
Filed under: uncultured bacterium
Lineage: Bacteria
Description: partial 16S ribosomal RNA
Rfam family: Bacterial small subunit ribosomal RNA
Source: RNAcentral
GAUGAACGCUGGCGGCGUGCCUAAUACAUGCAAGUCGAGCGAACAGAUGAGGAGCUUGCUCCUCUGACGUUAGCGGCGGACGGGUGAGUAACACGUGGAUAACCUACCUAUAAGACUGGGAUAACUUCGGGAAACCGGAGCUAAUACCGGAUAAUAUAUUGAACCGCGUGGUUCAAUAGUGAAAGACGGUUUUGCUGUCACUUAUAGAUGGAUCCGCGCCGCAUUAGCUAGUUGGUAAGGUAACGGCUUACCAAGGCAACGAUGCGUAGCCGACCUGAGAGGGUGAUCGGCGACACGGGAGCUGAGACACGGUCCAGGCUCCUACGAGAGGCAGCAGUAGGGAAUCGUCCGCAGUGGGCGAAAGCCUGACGGAGCAACGCCGCGUGAGUGAUGAAGAUCUUCGGAUCGUAAAGCUCUGUUAUUAGUGAAGAACAAAUGUGGAAGUAACUAUGCACUGCUUGACGGUAACUAGUCAAGAAGCCACGGCUAACUACGUG